Molecule: non-coding RNA, 95 nt
Filed under: unclassified sequences
Description: pemK RNA
Rfam family: pemK RNA
Source: RNAcentral
AUAAUGAUACUUCCGUCCAGCCACAGUCCGAGCGUUAAAAGCGUCGCAGGCAAUGGGGGCGGCCCGCCGACAGGGGGGAGGUGAAAGUCCUAUGA